Quercus lobata is the source of this 1067-nucleotide long non-coding RNA. RefSeq lists it as uncharacterized. The record is from RefSeq and is a predicted model, not a curated record. The transcript is spliced from 5 exons. Lineage: Eukaryota; Viridiplantae; Streptophyta; Magnoliopsida; Fagales; Fagaceae.
CUAAGUCUGAACCCGAUUCUUGUGUUUCUGAAAAAAAAAAACCCUACGUUCUCUUCUCUUCAGUCUCCGCCUCCCUCAGCUCUUUGCCUCCCUCCCUCCCUCACUUCUCUCUUUAUUCCUCAAAGGUUUAAACCUCAUCCUUACAAGCCAGUUUCAAGCCAUUUGCUCCAUUUGUCUCUGUGUUUUUAACUAAAGAGCUCUUCUGCCUCUCUCUGGGGUUUCACUAUUUUGCUUUUCGCCAAGGCAAUGUCAACCUCUUGACUACUGGUUUAAUUGUUCUCCGUCUUUCUUACUUGGUAUUAGGCAGUAGUAGCUGAUGAUAUAUGCAUUAGCUAUGACAAAAAGGUGGUCGAGCUUUGAUAUGUAUCCAACAUUUGACUAGAAUUAUCCAAGGUUUCUGUGUAAAGGUGUGGAAAUUACCCAGAAGUAUUCCUUAUGUUAGAAUCCUCUAUAGGAUCAGGUUGGGAUCGCAAUCCCACAACCCAAGUCACUGUUCAACCUCAACUCUAACACCCUCACUGAUCAUCACAGUCAGAUCAAGACUUUCUGCAUAGCACAUAGGACUAAUGCCCCACUUUCCACAUAAAAUCCUGUUAAGAACUGAAUCAAUAGCCUUGCAUUUGCUUGCAAAAGCCUAACACCACAACCACCAGCAACCCCAUGUGUAUGAAGCCAAGUUUAAUGUUGGAGCUUGAAGAAGUGCUUACAUGCAGGAUUAUUGAAAAGAAACUUUUUUUUGACAACUAAGCAUUCUGUCCAGCAAUGGAUUGCUGUAAUUUGUUUCACGACUAAGCAUUUUGUUGUAAUGUAAAGCUUUAGAUAUCUUGUCAUAGUUUUUCAUUUCCGGCUCUUUAGUGCUUGUGUUGGUUUUUAUGCAUUUGUUUUGCUUUCUCAAAGUUCUAACACUGUUUGGAGAGUACACAACAGAAUGAAAUGAAUUAGAGUGGAUAGGUUAUAAAUGAAUGGAAUGUGGAGGACUAUAUUAUUUUCUUUUGUUUGGUGUGCUUUGGAGUUGCAUAAUAGAAGGAAUAGAAAGAAGAGAUAUCAUACUUUGAUGGUUCAAUGAA